Molecule: long non-coding RNA, 540 nt
Organism: Fukomys damarensis (Damara mole-rat)
Lineage: Eukaryota; Metazoa; Chordata; Mammalia; Rodentia; Bathyergidae
Exons: 3
Source: RefSeq, a predicted model, not a curated record
GGCAAGGCCUUGAGGACUCUGCUUCUUUGCCAGCAGCAUUUGUAUUCCUGCAAGCAUUCGUCAGUGUUCCUCUAGGGUCCGGCUCUGUUAUGUGGAGGAAACACCAGUUUGCUGUGAAUAGACCUGAUUAUCAGCACUGCAGAGCCAAGUGUAUCCGCAGAUCGCAGGACUUCCAGUGUGGCUGGUGGAAAGGAGCCCUGUUCCGCCCCGGGUUUGCUACUCAAUGUGCUUGCCAAGGAAUGCAUCUCCUCCUCUGCUGAAGAACUGCCACCCUCAUUAGCUCUAUGGAAGACGGAAACAGAAAUCCACACCGGGCGUCCAACGCAGUGCUCGCCUCCAGACGCCCUCGGUAUGUGCAGCCGAAUGAGAAUCAGAGCUCUCCCCUCACACACUGCUUGCUCAAGAAGCCUGCGUGCACAGAAGCUGUUUAGUAGUGGGUUAAAUCACCCAUUCUUUGCGCAGUCUUGGAAACUCUGUGCAGACACUCACAUUAGGUAAACGGGUUUGCUUCAGUUUUAUUUAUUUUAUUUUAUUUUUUGC